This is a long non-coding RNA of Cydia pomonella (codling moth), 1333 nucleotides long. RefSeq lists it as uncharacterized. Lineage: Eukaryota; Metazoa; Arthropoda; Insecta; Lepidoptera; Tortricidae. The record is from RefSeq and is a predicted model, not a curated record. The transcript has 2 exons.
UUAAACAAUGUAUAUUUUGUUUUAAUUUUAAAAAUUGGUGCAGAUUUUUGCUUCUGACAGUACACACUGAAAGAAAUGUUUGCAUAACUGUAACAAAAUUUUGGUUACUGUUUACACAAAAAUUGGGACUUGCGAACUAUGUGUUAUAUGUUACAAAACCGUGUUUGGCUAUCAGGGUACAGGUACUGGGUAUACACUACAAAAUAAGUUUGUAAAUUUAUGCAAAGUUUAUUUUCUUAUAACCGUAGUUUAGUUAUUUAGUAAAGUUACAAAACCAGUUCGGCUAUCUAUUUUUUUCAGUGCACUAUGUAGGUAUUAUUAGAGUUCUUUUUUUGCCACGGAAGUGUAUUAGUAUACAUACAAGUAGGUAAGUAAAUACAAAGUAAGACAGAUAUAAGUAUUUAAGUUCAAUGACGAUGAAUAAUCAACGUGUAUAAUCGUUUCUUAUUCGCUUUUUUUAAUAUUGACCUUUAGCUUAAGUAUUUUUCUGAAUAAGUACCUAUUUGUUACAAUUGUUUCUAGAACAGCCCAAUUGCCUACGUGCGAAGUGCAGGGCAAAGAGAAUUUGAAAUAGAGGUAUAUUGACUGUAUUGUCAAAGAAAACUUUGUAGCUACAGAUAAUUUACUGCCAUCUUUCGACACAUGGUUAAAAUUUAGAACGCCAUUUGAUUUUGAGCCUUAUUAUUUUACUGAUAUGUGUUAAAUUUGUUAAAUAUCUAAAAGUGGCGCCAUCUAAUAGAUCAAAGGCUAAAGGUAUGGCAGUAUCGUUUCGAGCGAUGGCGCCAUAACCUUUAGGUUGUGCCCGGGAAGAUGGCACUUUUUGAUAUUUAACAAAUUUAACACAUAUCAAUGAAAGAAUAAAGAUCAAAUCAAAUGGCGUUCUAAAAGUUUUAAUCAUGUGUCGAAAGAUGGCAGUAAAUGUACGUGGCUACAAAGUUUUCUUUGACAAUACACCCCUAUUUCAAAUUAUCUUUGGUGGGGGUAAGUAAAGCAAUCGCAGCGUAAGCGGUGGUGAAAAUUAGAACUAACCAAGAAUAGCGUCUCUAACAUUUCGUACAAGUUAUAUGGCUCGAAAUGGAACAUUAAUAUUCGAUUAUUCUUGAAAUAUUCAUUUAAAUUGUAUGGUGUAAGGGACCAAUGGAAUCUGUAUGAAAUGCCUAAUAUAACUAACGUAUUUAAUUUGAUAAUUAUCAAAACUGUAUUCGUGUAAAGUAGGGUUAGCAAUAUCGGUCGGAUUCCAAUUCCGAAACUGAUUUUCGAUAUUGGGUACCAAUUCCGGAAUUCAGGGUUUACUAUAUUUUUAUUCGAUUUUUUAAUAAAAAACAAAACAAAA